RNAcentral lists this ribosomal RNA (586 nucleotides) under Eupeodes lapponicus. Its description in RNAcentral is "eukaryotic LSU rRNA". Lineage: Eukaryota; Metazoa; Arthropoda; Insecta; Diptera; Syrphidae. The record is from RNAcentral.
AGUACGUGAAACUGCUUAGAGGUUAAACCCGAUGAACCUGAAUAUCCAUUAUGGAAAAUUCAUCACUAAUAAUAUAGUAUUUAUAAUAUUGUAUGAAUGGUGUGCAAUUUUUCCAUAUAAGGACAUUGUAAUCUGUUAAUGUAAUAAAUAUUUAUCAUAAGAUCCAUUACUUAAGUUUAUUCAAAUUGGUUAUUUUCGGAUUUCUAACAUAGAAUAAAUGUUUUGGAUUUGAUAAAUCAUUGACAGAUAUAAUUAUAUAAUGUGCUUAAAUUUUUCGGAAUUUUAUCAAUGGUAGAUAAAUCUAUGAUUUGUUUAUUUAAUUGUAUGCACUAUUAUGAUUAACAAUGCGAUAGAUUCAGGAUACCUUCGGGACCCGUCUUGAAACACGGACCAAGGAGUCUAACAUAUGUGCAAGUCAUUGGGUAUUUUUAAUAAAACCCAAUGGCAUAAUUAACUUAACUGUUAUUUAUAAUGGGAUUAGUUUAUAUUUUGUUAUGAAAUAUUUAUUCAAUCCCGGGGCGUUCUAUAUAGUUAUGUAUAAUGAUAUUUAUAUUAUUUAUGCCUCUAACUCGAGCGUACCUUGAGC